Molecule: transfer RNA, 98 nt
Filed under: Mycobacterium simiae
Lineage: Bacteria; Bacillati; Actinomycetota; Actinomycetes; Mycobacteriales; Mycobacteriaceae
Description: tRNA-Asn
Source: RNAcentral
UGCCACGCUGGACCGUGAGUAUCGAGGGCAGUCGAUCUUGUUGCGAUCGGCCGACUUACGGGAAGGCGCAACGGCGUUCCAGGAGCGCCGCGCGCCGA